UACGAAGGGGGCUAGCGUUGUUCGGAAUUACUGGGCGUAAAGCGCGCGCAGGCGGUCUUCCAAGUCAGUGGUGAAAGCCCGGAGCUCAACUCCGGAACUGCCAUUGAAACUGUUGGACUUGAGUACGAGAGAGGUGAGUGGAAUUCCCAGUGUAGAGGUGAAAUUCGUAGAUAUUGGGAAGAACACCGGUGGCGAAGGCGGCUCACUGGCCCGGUACUGACGCUGAGGUGCGAAAGCGUGGGGAGCAAACAGG
This 253-nucleotide ribosomal RNA is filed under the name uncultured bacterium. Its description in RNAcentral is "partial 16S ribosomal RNA". It matches the Rfam family "Bacterial small subunit ribosomal RNA", at positions 524 to 776 of the family's 1533-position model. The record is from RNAcentral.